GCCACUGGCAUGCCAGCUUGGGCAACAGAGCAAGACCCUGUCUCUAAAAAUUAACCAAGUAAAAGAUCAUGCGGGUAGCAGUGGGUGUGGUGAGAAGUAUCAGGCAAUUGAAGCACAGAGUGGUAAUCUAAGAUAGGAGAACACAGGUGGAACAGGUUUUGGUGAGAAGGAGGAGCACAGGUGGAACAGCUUUUGGGGAGACAAUCAGCAGUUUUAUUUGGGAUAUGUGAAGUUUUUGGUGUCUGGUAGACCUCCUGGUGGAGAAGCUGUGUAGCAGGGGCCCAUAUAAGCCUGGAGUUCAGGAGAAAGCCUGGGCUGGAGGUACACGUUGGGGAGUUGCUGACAGGUAGGUUUAUUUAAAAAACGAAGUCAAAUGAAAUCACUGAGGGAGUGAGGGUAGGGAGAAAGAGAACCAAAUAUUGAGGGUGGAGGCACUCUCACUUAAGAAGAUGGGGAGAACAGGAGGAACCUGCAAAGGAGAAUGAAAAGGAGUGGAGUCAGGUGUCUCGGCAGCCAAAGGAGGAAGUGGUCGCCUCUGACAGACUGUGCCGACAGGCCAAGUAAGGCACAGCUAAAGAAAUGUGUUACUGACAAGCCUGCAGGCCACAUGGCGAGAUGGAAAGCAAGCAGUAAAGACCAAAGAAACUCGUUGAGGACAAUGGAAGAUGGGCUCAGAAGAAAAUGGAUACAGCUGAAGCUAGAUGGGUCAUGGGUGAA
This 717-nucleotide long non-coding RNA is filed under the name Homo sapiens (human). Its description in RNAcentral is "HSALNT0362209". The record is from RNAcentral. Lineage: Eukaryota; Metazoa; Chordata; Mammalia; Primates; Hominidae.